UUCCCCAGUCAAGAGCCAAUCAGAAGAAAAAAGGAGGCGAAGACUUCGCCGUCUGGCGUUCAAAAAUGCCACCUCGUAAGGAUGGGAAGAUAGAAAGAAAAUGGGGUUGGGACUAACGUUUGACGUCUUCAGCCAAAUAAUGUGUUCUGGCCCUACGUUCCUUAUUGGCUGGACCAAAGGACGAGCGAUUUCACAGAGAAAAGUGUUACAUGUCUCCAGAUGGGGCAGAAGGAAUUCAACAAGGCCCUUCAACAUGAAAGUCGAGCUUGACAUCUGUCAAAGGCACUCCUUUACAAAUAGAUACACCGUCCACAGCCUUGACACAAACUCAACUGUGGGAUAGAAAAGGCCACCACAGUCUGUAAAAAACAAUAGAGCAAUUGAAUUGGCUGAUCCUGAUUGUCCAUGCCUGAAUUGUCUAAGCAAUCGACAUUCUUUAAUUUAUCUUCCGAAAAGUUUAUUCUUCGGCAUACUACUGGACGUGUUCUUGGCGAAAGAGCUGCUUCAUGUGGUGCCGAUGGUAGAAGCCGACGGAUUGGCAACAGGAGGAUUCUGUCUUUGGCCGCAUUCAUAUUUGGAGUGAACGUUGCUGCUUGCUGAAUAUGUGGAAGAAGACGGCGUUUGUUUGAGUUAUUCAGCUCGGGAUCUUCAUCUGCAAGAAAGAAAAGAUGAUGCGGUAAUAUAAAUAUUCAUAGUGAGUUAUAAAUAUAAUUUAUUUUCAGAAAUGGGACCAAAAUGGUUGUUAUGAACGGGAAUGUUGCAAGGAAAAAUCAGGAAGAGUAAACGAAGGCAGAGAAAAUUUCAAUUUACUGGCCAAGGGAAUGCGAUUCUCGUACAGAAUUACAAGACCUAGGAAAGUCGUUUGUCGCCAGAUUGUAGCCUUACAGAAGCUUUGCUGGACACAGACAUUAGAAUUCGUCCAAUUUUUACCCAUGUCAAUUGUGAUUGAUAGAUGAAGAAGUCACGGAUUUUAUUCGAUCUACUUUCCCGUACAGAGAUCUGUUCCGAAGGAGAUAAAAAACAUCUCAUCAAUCGUAGAACGUCCCGGUGAUCGUAUAUAGCUUUACAGUGUUCAGAAUGUCUGUUACGUUUAUUAACAUUUUAUUUUUAUUUUUUAAAUGUAACAAUUUUUAAUGAGAACAAUACAUUUUCUGCUUUAAACAUAUAACAAAAUUACGCGUUGGUUUGUUUUUCCACUUGUCGGGUACCGCAUCACAUUUAAGGCGCAUCGAGGAAUUACCGUGCAUCUAAUAGCUUCUAACACCGUUCUCUGAUUCCAUUCUCAACCCCUAAUAACAGUUCCCUGCCUUUUUUAUUUCCGUUUAAGUCGUGAACACACGCUGAAACAAGAUUUUUGUACAUUCGACAGGUUCGAAAAUAGAACGAAUGAUAUUUAUUUGAUUGUUAUGCAUGUAAAAAAUAUAUCCGUUUCAUAACUAAUUUCCCUUAA
Molecule: long non-coding RNA, 1450 nt
Filed under: Daphnia magna
Lineage: Eukaryota; Metazoa; Arthropoda; Branchiopoda; Diplostraca; Daphniidae
Description: uncharacterized LOC116931079
Source: RNAcentral